RNAcentral lists this ribosomal RNA (301 nucleotides) under uncultured Desulfovibrio sp. Its description in RNAcentral is "bacterial SSU rRNA". It matches the Rfam family "Bacterial small subunit ribosomal RNA", at positions 355 to 649 of the family's 1533-position model. Lineage: Bacteria; Pseudomonadati; Thermodesulfobacteriota; Desulfovibrionia; Desulfovibrionales; Desulfovibrionaceae. The record is from RNAcentral.
UGGGGAAUAUUGCGCAAUGGGCGAAAGCCUGACGCAGCGACGCCGCGUGAGGGAUGAAGGUCCUCGGAUCGUAAACCUCUGUCAGAAGGGAAGAAUGUAGCGCGUGCCAAUCAGCGUGUUAUUGACGGUACCUUCAAAGGAGCACCGGCUAACUCCGUGCCAGCAGCCGCGGUAAUACGGAGGGUGCAAGCGUUAAUCGGAAUCACUGGGCGUAAAGCGCACGUAGGCUGUCGUGUAAGUCAGGGGUGAAAGCCCACGGCCCAACCGUGGAAUUGCCCUUGAUACUGCAUGACUGGAAUCC